UUUGUUUUAUGCAGUACAUAUGAGAAAUUUUGCCUAGGGCAAUGAUCCAUGGCAUAAAUACUAAGAAGCCCAGAGAUGCAAGACUGCAGACAAGGACGGUUAAUGUCUCCAGAAGGAUGAUGCCCACACAGAUCAGGUUCAAAGGCUUGCCAGGUCCACAGAGAGAUGUGAGUGGCAACCUGCAGCUUCUGGGACACUGCUCCUUGUGCAAGACCAGAGUAUCCUCAGGACAGAAGACCCGUGCAACUGGAUCUAGGUAUGCAGUGGAUUGGAUCAUGGUCACUUCCCAGAGGCAUUCUGAUUCCCAACAGGAGGUAAUGCAAAUUGUUUACAUUGAUGAUGCAUCUUCUUUGGGGCCCUGUCCCCUGGUUUCUAUUUAAAAAUGAGCUUUCAUCUUUUGGCCUUUAAGCUGCCUGAUCCAAGGUAGACAUGCACAAUGCUAAUACAUCUUUACUAGCAUCUGCAACUGAAUCAGUUAUCUCUGCCCCAGUCAGAAAAGCAGAUCCCUUUAUUAUUACUAUAUUAAUACAGUUUUGCGUGCAUGAUUCUUUACAAGGAAAAGAUGAGUCACUGCUCCAAGAGACCUCAUGUUACAAAUUAGAUGUGGCACAUGGAAUGACGACAAUGAAAUGAUUAGAGAAGAAAUACAUUUUAAUAUAUGAAUUUACUGAAUUAUUUUGUGACAAAUUCACAUUAUGUUCUUGUCUUGUUUCUCUAAGAUACACAGCUCAGACCUAAAUGCUAAAGAACUAUGUUCAGAAUGGGACCAGACUCAUUCCUGCNNNNNNNNNNNNNNNNNNNNNNNNNNNNNNNAGUGCACAUUGGUCAGCUCUUGUUCCAAAGAAGCUUCCAUAGCAUUUUGGCAAAAACUUUAUUCUUAGUCACCAAAAGAGAUAUUGAAAUGAAUGGUGACUCAUCUCAGCAGGCAUUUAACUGCAGCCUUAAUCUCAAUCCUAGUGGAAGAAAGUUAACAAUCUCAGUCCUCCAGUGUAGGAAGCAUACAUUCUUAUAAAAUUACAGAUACACACAAGAAAACAUUUCUCCUGUUUCAGUCUAUGAAAGAGCAGCCUCCCUCCUCCCUGUGCCAGGGCACACAAAUCUGACAGAAAGUGUAUUCCAGCACUGAGAAUGCUUCCUGAAUAUGCUCCUUCAGCCACCUGAGUGCCUCUGCACCAUCUAGUGGUACAAGUCCCUACCGACAGGAAUCAAGACAAGGAAAGGGUUUUUUAUUUUUAAGGCAAACAUAAUUAUUUAUGGGGAAAAAAUUGGCAGUUUUUAUUGCCCUUCCCAUACACUAUAAGCAUCUUGUAUCCCUGUAUGCAUGAACUACAGAAAGUACUUAACAUCCUAGAUGUUCCAAGGAAUUUCACUCCUAGGAAACCUUCAUAAGCUGCCUCGACAUGAGCCUAGGCACUUUGCUCUGGGUGUCCCUGUUUGAGCAGAGGUUGAACAAAUGGAUGCGGAGGUCCUUGUCAACUCAGCCAUCCAGUGAUUCUGUGAAAGUACAGAGAGAAAGGAUUUAGGAUAUAAGCAGAGGAAGAGAAGGUGGAAUUAAGGAAUCACUAGCACUCUUGGACAGUGUCUGUCAUUUUAUAACAGACAGCUACCUUUCAAAUCCUGCAAUUUGGUAUAGAUGCUUCAAGUUCCUAUCAGUGCAGACCCAGCAGGCUGUGUGGGAUACAGAAUCUCUGGAGGAGCACGUCAGAGGAGCGGCUCCCAGCACACAUCAUGAGGCUGCCUGCUCUGUUUUCUCUGGCAGACCUAGAAGAAGUGCAGCCUGGGAUGAGCACGACUGAACAGCAAAUAAGCAGAGUGUAUUUGUGUCUGUCUGGAAUGUUUUGUGUGUGAGACAGUCCCACGUGUUUUUUCAGGACCACCCUUUCUUGUUUCAAAUGGUGUUCACAGAAUCCUGAGUGUGAUGGUAGUAAAUAAAGAAAAGGCUGUGGCUGUGUUGGGGAAGCUC
Long non-coding RNA from Chrysolophus pictus (golden pheasant), 1963 nucleotides. The record is from Ensembl. NCBI's taxonomy places the organism in Eukaryota, Metazoa, Chordata, Aves, Galliformes, Phasianidae.